RNAcentral lists this ribosomal RNA (748 nucleotides) under Lactobacillus casei group sp. RNAcentral's name for it is "bacterial SSU rRNA". It matches the Rfam family "Bacterial small subunit ribosomal RNA", at positions 57 to 769 of the family's 1533-position model. Lineage: Bacteria; Bacillati; Bacillota; Bacilli; Lactobacillales; Lactobacillaceae. The record is from RNAcentral.
GCAAGUCGAACGAGUUCUCGUUGAUGAUCGGUGCUUGCACCGAGAUUCAACAUGGAACGAGUGGCGGACGGGUGAGUAACACGUGGGUAACCUGCCCUUAAGUGGGGGAUAACAUUUGGAAACAGAUGCUAAUACCGCAUAGAUCCAAGAACCGCAUGGUUCUUGGCUGAAAGAUGGCGUAAGCUAUCGCUUUUGGAUGGACCCGCGGCGUAUUAGCUAGUUGGUGAGGUAAUGGCUCACCAAGGCGAUGAUACGUAGCCGAACUGAGAGGUUGAUCGGCCACAUUGGGACUGAGACACGGCCCAAACUCCUACGGGAGGCAGCAGUAGGGAAUCUUCCACAAUGGACGCAAGUCUGAUGGAGCAACGCCGCGUGAGUGAAGAAGGCUUUCGGGUCGUAAAACUCUGUUGUUGGAGAAGAAUGGUCGGCAGAGUAACUGUUGUCGGCGUGACGGUAUCCAACCAGAAAGCCACGGCUAACUACGUGCCAGCAGCCGCGGUAAUACGUAGGUGGCAAGCGUUAUCCGGAUUUAUUGGGCGUAAAGCGAGCGCAGGCGGUUUUUUAAGUCUGAUGUGAAAGCCCUCGGCUUAACCGAGGAAGCGCAUCGGAAACUGGGAAACUUGAGUGCAGAAGAGGACAGUGGAACUCCAUGUGUAGCGGUGAAAUGCGUAGAUAUAUGGAAGAACACCAGUGGCGAAGGCGGCUGUCUGGUCUGUAACUGACGCUGAGGCUCGAAAGCAUGGGUAGC